Molecule: long non-coding RNA, 931 nt
Organism: Helianthus annuus (common sunflower)
Lineage: Eukaryota; Viridiplantae; Streptophyta; Magnoliopsida; Asterales; Asteraceae
Exons: 2
Source: RefSeq, a predicted model, not a curated record
UUGAUAUCAUGCAUCUAGGUAAUUUUCGUUAGUAAAAUAUCGGUAAAUUCUUUUUUCACAUCAUGUUACAUUUUUGAUAGAGUAACAACGACAAACUAUUGACUGGAUCCAUUUUCAUUGGCGGAUACGUAGGUAUUAGUUGUGUUUUCUAGUGCGUUGAUGUUUCGGAAGGCUUAAAAAUCUUCUUUAACAGUAACUGGUAUCAUGCAUCUACCAUCCAUUCACCUUUCUACAUUGUUGGGUGUUUCUCGAUACUCCAAUCUCAAAGCAUUAGGUUUCUCUACUUGAUGCGGCUUAAUCCAAGCUUGGAAAUGUUGGAUAUUGUUUGCCAAGUGUACUUGACCCGCUAAAGAUUAUAACAACAUUUGAAGUCAACUUUUAGUCGUUAAAGCCUCAAAAGCAUUGUCGUAUAUGAACAUGGUUUGAUCUACACAACUUAGCACCCGUAUAAUACAUGAUAAUUUGCCUUUUAUAUAUGGUCUGAAAAAUAUCUUUUCUUCAGAUCAUAAAUGAAACUAAAAAUACCCGAUAUCGUCUGAUAAUACAACCAAUUUCUAAAACUUAUAAGAAAUACAUUUAUCUAUAUGAUUAAAUAUUUUUUAGAAAAACAUUUAUUUAUCGGAUUAAAUAUAAAUGAAUAAAGUGUGUGGGUAUAGGUUAGAUAUGGAAUUGGGAGGCUAGAAAGAAGAUAAGAAACUAACAUAGGAAGAGAAGAGGAAUUGAUUCAAUGCAUGGCCACAUGAAGUGAUAAGGAAAAUGGUGGGUAUAUUCCUUCGUAUUUGUUUUUUUUUUCUUUUAUUUUAAAGUGAUAAGGAAAAUGGUGGGUAUAUGCCUUCGUAUUUGUUUUUUUUUUCUUUUAUUUUAAUUUGAAAAACAAAAAGAAUAUGUUUUUAAAAUUUGAUAAUAUUAUCUCUUACAUCAUUUAAUAUUC